This 443-nucleotide ribosomal RNA is filed under the name uncultured bacterium. Its description in RNAcentral is "partial 16S ribosomal RNA". It matches the Rfam family "Bacterial small subunit ribosomal RNA", at positions 338 to 795 of the family's 1533-position model. The record is from RNAcentral.
CCUACGGGAGGCAGCAGUGGGGAAUAUUGGGCAAUGGAGGCAACUCUGACCCAGCAACGCCGCGUGAAUGAUGAAGGUCUUCGGAUUGUAAAGUUCUUUUCUAAGGGAAGAAGAAAGUGACGGUACCUUAGGAAUAAGCCUCGGCUAACUACGUGCCAGCAGCCGCGGUAAUACGUAGGAGGCAAGCGUUAUCCGGAAUGACUGGGCGUAAAGGGUGCGUAGAUGGUUUGACAAGUUAGUAGCGCAACUCCGGGGCUCAACUUCGGAACUACUACUAAAACUGUUGGACUUGAGUGCAGGAGGGGCAAUCGGAAUUCCUGGUGUAGCGGUGAAAUGCGUAGAUAUUAGGAGGAACACCAGUGGCGAAGGCGGAUUGCUGGACUGUAACUGACGCUGAGGCACGAAAGCGUGGGGAGCAAACAGGAUUAGAUACCCGAGUAGUC